Molecule: non-coding RNA, 29 nt
Filed under: Rattus norvegicus (Norway rat)
Lineage: Eukaryota; Metazoa; Chordata; Mammalia; Rodentia; Muridae
Source: RNAcentral
UGGUGACAACGUUUUUGGAGAUUAUGAGA